AUUGAACGCUGGCGGCAUGCCUUACACAUGCAAGUCGAACGGUAACGGGCCUUCGGGUGCCGACGAGUGGCGAACGGGGGAGUAAUACAUCGGAACGUGCCCGAUCGUGGGGGAUAACGAGGCGAAAGCUUUGCUAAUACCGCAUACGAUCUACGGAUGAAAGCAGGGGACCGCAAGGCCUUGCUCGGACGGAGCGGCCGAUGGCAGAUUAGGUAGUUGGUGGGAUAAAAGCUUACCAAGCCGACGAUCUGUAGCUGGGCUGAGAGGAUGAGCAGCCACACUGGGACUGAGACACGGCCCAGACUCCUACGGGAGGCAGCAGUGGGGAAUUUUGGACAAAGGGCGCAAGCCUGAUCCAGCCAUGCCGCGUGCAGGAUGAAGGCCUUCGGGUUGUAAACUGCUUUUGUACGGAACGAAAAGCCUUCUUUUAAUACAGGAGGGUCAUGACGGUACCGUAAGAAUAAGCACCGGCUAACUACGUG
Molecule: ribosomal RNA, 482 nt
Filed under: uncultured bacterium
Lineage: Bacteria
Description: partial 16S ribosomal RNA
Rfam family: Bacterial small subunit ribosomal RNA
Source: RNAcentral